CUCGCGAGAAUGGCUACCGGUGGUUGUCGGUCACUUAGUUUAAAAUACAGAAAGACGAUAAAUAAAUGGUUUCUAAAUAAAAUGAGAUAUUAUUGUAAUCAGAAUGUUCCUAAUUACGCCGUGGACGAAGCAAAAUGGGAAAGUGUCGUCGGUUUAGAAAUUCACGCUCAAAUUUCGUCGCGUUCAAAACUUUUUUCUCGAUCGUCUACCGAAUUUGCCGCUCUUCCUAACAGUCGAGUGUCGUUUUUCGAUGCCGCAUUGCCCGGAACUUUACCGGUUUUGAAUCGUUCCUGCGUGGAAAGUGCAGUUUUAACAGCUCUGGCACUUGGAUGUACCGUACAUAAAGUCUCGCUUUUCGAUAGGAAACAUUAUUUUUAUGUUGAUUUGCCGGCAGGUUACCAAAUCACUCAGCAGAGAAAACCCAUUGCCACUGAUGGAAAAUUAGAAUUUGUCGUCUAUAAUUCUGCAGUUUACAAAUCGCCUUUCCUGUGUUCCUCCCGCAUUAAACAAUUGCAGUUAGAACAAGACAGUGGCAGAAGUCUGCACGAUGUCGAUGAUGGUCGAACUCUGGUAGAUUUAAACAGAGCCGGAAUAGGACUGAUGGAAAUAGUAUUUGAACCGGAUCUCAGAAAUGGAGAAGAGGCAGCCGGAUUGAUUAGAGAACUUCAAAAAAUCUUGCAAUGUUUGGGAACGUGUUCUGGUUACAUGAAUGAAGGUGCAAUGAGAAUUGAUGCUAAUAUAUCUGUCAAUAGACCUGGAGAACCAAUGGGAAUAAGAACAGAAUUAAAAAAUAUUAACAGUGCCCGUUAUGUUGCCAAAGCUAUUGAUUUUGAAAUAAAACGUCAGAUUAGAUUAUUAGAAGCUGGAGAAAAUAUAAAAAAUGAAACAAGAAAGUAUGAUCAUGUAAUAAAGGAGACUGUUUUAAUGAGAGAGAAAGAAAAUGUACAAGAUUAUAGAUAUAUGCCAGAACCAAAUCUACCACCUCUUAGGUUAUAUGACGAUUUGGAUAAAGAGAAUUUUAAAUUUUCUUCGGAUACUAUUAACAUUGAUCAUCUGCGAGAAAACAUUCCGUUACUACCAGCUGAUGAGAGAAAAUAUCUAAUUGAAAAAUACAAGCUUCCGUUGAGAUCUGCAUUACUUUUAAUGAAUGAGGAUUUACAAGAAUUAUUCAAAGAAGUGGCCACAGGAAUUAAAUGCAAUAUGAAAUUUGUAUCUCAUAUAUUAUUGACAGAUAUUUUAUCACAACUUAACAAACGGAAGUUAAAAACCAGUGAAAUAUUAAUUUCCAUAGACAGAAUUCAAGAAUAUAUUGAAAUGAUUGACAACAAAAUAGUGACAGCCGCAAAAGCAAAAGAUGUCUUACAAUUGAUGUUUGAUGGCGAUUCUCGUUUUCCCAUAGAAAUUGUUCGGGAAAAUAACUGGACAAUGAUUUCAAAUUUAGAAGAGUUAAAAAAGUUUUGCUCUGAAGUGAUAAAAAAGAAUCCAAAUUUGGUUAAAAAAUAUCAGAAUGGAAAAAGUAAGUUUCUAUCAACUCUUGUAAAUGAAGUCAAGAAAACAUCUGAAAAUAGAGCAAAUGUACAGAUGGUGGAAGAAAUCUUAAUAACCAUGUUGAAUUCUUAAAACAGAAUUAUUUACAUAAAAAAACCUAUAUUCAGGGCUCCCACCAGAAACUAAAAAGUAGGAAAACUUUUUAAAGUAAAUAUGAUACUGAAAUAUUGCUUUUCUUAAUGUAAUAAGAAAUGAACAUCAAUGGCACUUAAUUCUUUCAUUUAUUCCCAUAGUUUCUAAAUAUGGAGUUCAGAUGCAAAAUGUAAUAUGUCCAUUAAGAAAAACUCGAUGUAUUGCUUAGAUUUUAGUUAAAUCUACACUCUUGGCAUGUUAUUAUUUGUAUGAAUCGUCAUAUUUUGUAAGCAAAUGCACUUUAGUAAGUUUUAAUUUAACAAUCUAAUUCCCAUUUCCUUUUUUCAUAGAUAAGUUCAUUACUUCAAUUUUUUUAAAUAAUAGACAUAUUACCUUUUGUAUCUGGACUCCUUAAAUACAUUCUAUAAUUAUAUCAUAGAAUGAUUAGCUGACUAAGGAGGCAUUAUUAGCUACUUGAAAUGCAUUUUAAGACAGUAAAAUUUCAUUGUGUCAAGUCAUGGAUUGAUUUGUAAUCUUCAGUUAAAAGAAGAAACGAGUUUAUUUUUUUCAGAUUUACUAUCAUCACAUGUAUUGUCAUAUUCGAAGACAGAGCAAGUAUGUCUUGUAAGUACAGUAAUUGUAAAUUAAUUUAUGAAAUUUAGUAGAAAUUUAGCUGGUCACUUACCAUAUUAAGUGACCAGUUGUAAUUCCCCUAAUUGUUUCUUAGAUAACAAUCAUUAAUUUCUUUUUAUUAACUUAAUUUCCAGGAGUAAAAUUUAAGUGAACAAAACUAAAAAUUUUGCAUUGCAAAUGGAGUCUGUCCUCAAGGUCCAACCAAAACAAACUUUACACGCAAAAAGUAGACAAAUAGCCCUAUUGUGUUUUGAUCAAAACAGAACUUUUAAAUAAUAUCUUGAGAAUUAUAAAACUAAUCAAGUAAAUUUAAUGAAUAAACCUUAAUAUGAUAAUUUUAUAUUUCCUUUAGAGGAUGAUAGGUCAGAAGGGCAUAUUAACUAAAUUUGACAUUUCAUAAUAAAUCAAAAAAGUGGAGCCAAAAGUGAAUGUUUUGUACCAACCAAAAUGUUGAAAAUCACAUUUAAUUAAAAUAGCAUUUACAUAGUUUCCUAAUUGUCUUUUCUUCUGUAAAUUCACAUUUUAGUUUAUAUGUUCUGACCUUUGAUCACCCUUGGUUAUUAAAUGAAUUUAACAUUUAAUUAAAAGUUUAUCCUUUUCUGCAAAAGCAUUUUAAGUUGAAAGUGAAUUUUCUGUAUUGAUAGAAACUAUUUAUUAUUUUUCAGUAAGAAUAUUUGAUGUCAAAAUUUCAUUAUCAAUAUCUUUUCCAUCAAUAAAUGUAAUAUCAUUCACUGCAUUACAAAUUCUAAACAUGAUCUAGAGAACUGAUGAAAGAAAUUUGCAUUCAAGGAGAUAAUCUAGAAAAAUUAAUCACCUCUAACAUUGAAUCUUUUAAAGAAAUGAAUGAAUGAUUUCAUUUUUUCUUUCCUGGCUGUUAUGUAUGGCAAUCGAUCAAAAAUGACCCUCCAAGAUUUUUGGACACUUUUGGACUCCGGAUACCUUGGAUCUUUGAGAAAUAGAAAAUAAUUCGGGGAUUGUUAAUGUGUUACGAUUUUGUUUAACCUCUUUGAAGCUUAAUAAUGCCUGUGCUUUGUUGAAAAUUUCUGAAAUUUUGCAGGACUUGAUGAUGAUUUUAUUUAUUAGCAUUUAUAAUUUUUUAUAAAACCUAUCCCUACCCUCAAAAUUAAACAUUUUGCCAUUUUUAAUAGAAUAUAACAGGCGGUGCUACCGAAUGUUGCCGGGGAAAGUUAAUCAACUCAUUGCUGGAUUUUUUGUUCCUUGAUUGGCAAAAGGUCUUAAAUGGAUCAGAUUCCAAAGUUAAAAAUUAAUAGUUAUAGAAAGUCUAUUCGUUGAUGGUUGUGUGACAUCCAAAGAAGGGAGUGAAAAAAACAAAGAGAAUAAUUAGAAGUAAUAAUAAUUAAAUAAAUUAAGAAUUAAUUUUUUUCGAUGUAGAAAUCGGAGAUCAAAAGGUCAAAUGAGGAAAGGAUGACAAAACCCACACACUUCCUAUUUCGUCUGAUUUUGAAACUGAUAAAGUCGAUCAUCUGAUCAUACAAAGUAAGAAUUAUUACUAAGGUUGCAAGACAAACUCUGACCUUAGUCACCUCCAGCCAUUAAUUCAGUUUGUUUGACAGCUGUUAUCAAAUUUAUGAGGUAGAAUGAGUAAUCAUACCAGAUAGAAAGAGGUAAUAAAUUUGUUGAAAUGUUCAAUUUCUGACAAUUAACAUAAACAACACCCGGACACAAAUCGAACUUAGAAUGGGUUACAUCAUACAUAGCAUUAGUCAGCUCUACCAAAAAUGGGUAUAAAAAGUGCUUGGACACAGUCUUCAUGCGGACAUCAACAGUGGACACCAGACCUGUCCCGCCAUAAUUGCUGUCUCUCUGCCAAGAUGAUCCUGACCUGAAUGAAAGGAAGACUACUGGUCAACUAUGCCAAUCCAGGAGUGUUUCACUGACAUCCCAUACAAUGAGAUCAGGAACCAUCGAUCUAUGAGAAUAAUAGCAGAAUGAGAAAGGAGACAAAAUAUCAAGCAAUUAAAGCAUUAGAAGAGGAGAAAAAUCACAUAGAUGUUUGUAACCAGUUAAGAGGCUAUAUACAUAUGUGCACAUGCAAGUAGAGUGUUCACUUAAACAUCUAUCCAGAGGGAAAAAUGAUCUUUUCAGCAUAGGUUAGGUUGUGGACUGCAGCAGACAAAAAUACGCUAUGUAUUAUUCUGCCAUAAUAAACAUACCCAUUCUGCUGCUAUCUGUAGCCAGCACAACAUGCAGAAGAUGCUGCACAUCAAUUUGAAAUGCAGUGUGGUGUUAAAUUUACAGCAUGAUUUACCACAACUACUUCAGCAAAUUUUAUAGACCAACAAGGCACUAUUUUUCCAGAAUGGAGUAUAUAAUUGUCACAAUGUACCAUACAUUAUAGGGCAGAGGCAUGCUUCACGCUUCACAAUAUAUGUAACACCAAGUGUUUUAACCUAAAUACCUUGUGUGGAAUUUGGGAUGAACAGUUUCUUAGUCCUAUAUUCACUGAUGGCAUCCUUAAAAGUGACCAAUAUCUGAACAUCCUAAACAUAAUGGUGGAUAAAUGGCUGGAUGACUUGUUAUUAACACAACAGGUCUGUGAUAUAGUGACAUCAGAUCCAUACAUGCCAUCCAUAGCAUCAUGCUCAAGUGUCUACAUCUUUGUUCAAAAUGACUGCCUUCAGCAGCAAUACAUUUUCUCUAACAAAAUAAAGCCAACAUUGCAGAAUUUGAUUUAAAAAGUGAGCUUUAUAGUCAGAUUAUUUGUAUGUUAUGCUAUAAAUCAUAUUAAACUGAUUCCCUCUGGUUAUUUUAAUGCUGGAGCAAGCAUGCACAAGAUGUAUACACUUGUGCAAUGCUGAAAAGAUACUUUUUGCUCCUGGAUAGAUGUUUAAGUGGACACCCUGUAUACCUAUGGUAUUGCAAUGCUAUCAAGAAUAACCCAAUUUUCCUAGUAUUGAUCAUGAUAUAGUUAAAGAUUUUUCUUUAAUCUGAACAAUUCAUCAAAGAUAUAGAUAUUGAUUUUAUUCCAUCAAUGGUUUACCUACAAGCACAUUUGUGGUAAAAAGUGCUGUUAUAUUGCAAAAUAGAAAAUUGGAAAAAGCAAACUCAAACUAUCCUAGAAGAAAAUUGUCCUACUAGGAAAAUAAUGCCAAUGAACUGACUUAUUUUUCAAGUGUGCCCUGAAUAAAACUUAUCACUUUCAACUAUGUUUGCAGCCAUUAGAACAGUUAUGUGGUCUUUUGGUUGUUUUCCUCCUUUACAUGUAUAAGAUCAGUUUAUUUGGCUUUUUUUAUUUUCCAAUGAUGUUUCAAGAAUGUAAAACAACUUUCUUUAGCUUAUAGUGCAAACAGAAAGACUUGGAUGUUUUUGCCAGUGUUUGCAGCAUAGCUAUACCAGUUUGAUCUUAAAAUGGUAAGGCUCUAACUGCUCUGUAUAUCCAUAUGUCUGGGACUUGGCAAUCAAACUGAUUUUUCUCCUCUCCGACUUGCCCUAUUUAUGUCAACUUUUUCCUUAUGAGCAUCAUGUGAUAGUAAAAUUUUACUAAUUGCAUGACAUCAGGGAAGUUCAAAUUGUAACUUUUGCCAGCUUCAAGAUUAAAAAUAAUUCCUUGAUGCAUGGGUUAAGACAAAAACUGUUUGUAACUGUUUUGAGUGUACCUUCCAGAUAUUAACAUCACUUCAUUUGAUCAGGAUGAUGAUCCCAAAUUCUACUCAGUUAUUGAAAUGCAACAGAAAGAGUUUGAGAAAGAAACAAUUGUAGUUGAUGAUUGAGCUGUAUGUUCUGCACUGUGCACAAAUGAAAAAAAAGCUUAGAUAUUGUAAUCAACACCCAUUGAACCAAAGAUGAGGAAGGAAAAAAUAAUCUAUUAUACCAUCUACUGUAAAAAACUUUAAAUGUAUUUUCUAAGAAUGUAAAUAGCAUCUUAUUGUCAAAUGAUGAUGGAAAAUAUUCUUUGCCAUAUUAACAUUGUUGGAAAUACAACUGAAAAAAUUGAAGCGAUGGGAAUUUCUUUUUAUUCGUUAAACAUACAAAAGUUACUCAUAAUUGACAUAAAGAAAAUAUUAUUUCUACAUCAGAAACUAAACUGUUUGCAUCUUUCAGAAAAAAAAAUUCUAUUUAAACAACUAAUUUAUAAUUGACAUUAUAUUCAAAAAUGAUACUUCUGGUGUUGUUUUCAAAAUAAAUAAUUUAUAUUGCACAAAGUUGUCAAAAAUUAUGGUAUAAUUGCAAAGCACACAUGGAAAAUCUGAUAUAAAUUUUUAUGGUGGAAAAAACAAAUUUAACAGAAAGAAUAUAGAAAGAAGAUAAUUUAAAUUUAACAGAAAGAAUAUAGAAAGAAGAUAAUUUAAAAUGGUCAAAAACAUUAGCAAGUUUUGCUGGAUUGAUAUGGCAUUAGGUGUAUUAUAUAUACUUUUAUCCAGUUUGUUCAUUUUGUUAUGAAGAAAAUAUACUUCAUUUAUAUUAAAACAAUAUUUUACAAAGAGAAAUAAAACAUUAUGAAUUAAACAUAGAAUAUACGUAUUUCAAACUGAUAUAUUUAAUAAACUGUAAGACAUACAACUAUGGAACUUGGGACACAUAUUUAUGAAACACUCUAGUUUAGAUUACAGGUGUUCAAUAUGUCCUCCACCAGCGACAUGAACGGUCUGGGCUUCAUAACUAACCUGCGUCUCAAAACACGCCAAACUGUUGUUUUAGGCAGCUGCAAUUCCCGACUGGCACGACGUGUUGAUUUUGAAGGGCUACGUUGGUAAGCAGCUUGAAUCCGUGCGACGUUUUCUUCAGAUACACGAGGUCGGCCAGGACUCUUUCCUUUACAUACACAACCUGUGUCAACAAACUGACGGUACCAUCUGCGAAUGUUCCAUCCAUUCGGAGGAUCAAUUUCGUACCUCAACCGGAAACGUCUUUGCACUGUAAUCACGGAAUUACACUUCGCAAGCUCAAGAAUACAAAAGCUUUUGUGCUGUGGCGUAGCCAUUUUACAACAACUGUGAAUACGUCAUUGUAACCAAGCACAACUGACAUCUGGGGACAAACUAGACAAUGCACUCAUUCCUCCGAUACCCGCAGCACACUGCUACUAUCGAUAGUUUAAUAAAUAUAUCAGUUUGAAAUACGUAUAUUCUUUUUGGUCCAUCCUGUAUU
Molecule: unclassified non-coding RNA, 7362 nt
Filed under: Centruroides sculpturatus (bark scorpion)
Lineage: Eukaryota; Metazoa; Arthropoda; Arachnida; Scorpiones; Buthidae
Description: glutamyl-tRNA(Gln) amidotransferase subunit B, mitochondrial-like, transcript variant X3
Source: RNAcentral